RNAcentral lists this long non-coding RNA (1945 nucleotides) under Lactuca sativa (garden lettuce). RNAcentral describes it as "long non-coding RNA (LSAT_LNC008811)". The record is from RNAcentral. Lineage: Eukaryota; Viridiplantae; Streptophyta; Magnoliopsida; Asterales; Asteraceae.
AACAAUGCUCAUCAAAGCAUUGCUUAAAUUGCAUAGACAUACUAUUGUGGAACUCAAUAAUUAAACGAUUCUCAAUGAAGUUUUGCUAAAUUGCAUAAACUUCUAAUGUGGAACUUAAGAAUGAAACAAUGCUCGUCAGAGCUUUGCUAAAUUACAUAGACUUCUAAUGUGGAACUCAAGAAUGAAACAAUGUUUAUCAAAGCUUUGCUUAAAUUGCAAAGACUACUUCUAUUGUUGAACUCAAGAAUUAAACAAUGCUCAUCAAUGCUUUGCUAAAUUGCAUAGACUUCCAAUGUCGCAACCAAGAAUGAAACAAUUCUCCUCUAAGCUUUGCUAAAUUGCAUAGACUUCUCUUGUGGAACUCAAGAAUGAAACAAUGCUCAUCAAAGCUUUGCUUAAAUUGAAUACUUCUAUUGUGGAACUCAAGAAUUAAACAAUGCUCAUCAAGGCUUUCCUGAAUUGCGAAGACUACUUCAAUUAUGGAACUCAAGAAUGAAACAAUGCUCAUCAAAGCUUUGCUUAAAUUCCAUAAAGGCAACUUCUAUUCUGGAACUCAAGAAUUAAACAAUGUUCAUCAAAGCUUUGCUAAACUGCGAAGACUACUUCUGUUGUGGAACUCUAGAAUUAAACAAUGCUCAUCAAAGCUUUUGUAAAUUGAGAAGACUACUUCUAUUGUGGAACUCUAGAAUUAAACAAUGUUCAUCGAAGCUUUGCUAAAUUGCAUACAUUUCUAAUGUGGAACUCUAGAAUGAAACAAUGCUCAUCAAAGGUUUUCUUAAAUUGCAUAGACUUUUAUUGUGGAACUCAAGAAUUAAACAAUGCUCUUCAAAGCUUUGCUAAAUUGUGAAGACUACUUCUAUUAUGGAACUCAAGAGUGAAACUAUGCUCAUCAAAACUUUGCUUAAAUUGCAUAGACUUCAAUUGUGGAACUCAAGAAUUUUAACAAUGCUCAUCAAAGCUUUGCUAAAUUGCGAAGACUACUUCUAUUGUGGAACUCAAGAAUCAAACAAUGCUCAUCAAAGCAUUGCUUAAAUUGCAUAGACAUACUAUUGUGGAACUCAAUAAUUAAACGAUGCUCAAUGAAGCUUUGCUAAGUUGCAUAAACUUCUAAUGUGGAACUUAAGAAUGAAAUAAUGCUCGUCAGAGCUUUGCUAAAUUACAUAGACUUCUAAUGUGGAACUCAAGAAUGAAACAAUGCUCAUCAAAGCUUUGCUUAAAUUGCAAAGACUACUUCUAUUGUUGAACUCAAGAAUUAAACAAUGCUCAUCAAUGCUUUGCUAAAUUGCAUAGACUUCCAAUGUGGCAACCAAGAAUGAAACAAUGCUCCUCUAAGCUUUGCUAAAUUGCGCAGACUUCUCUUGUGGAACUCAAGAAUGAAACAAUGCUCAUCAAAGCUUUGCUUAAAUUGAAUACUUCUAUUUUGGAACUUAAGAAUUAAACAAUGCUCAUCAAAGCUUUGCUGAAUUGCGAAGACUACUUCAAUUAUGGAACUCAAGAAUGAAACAAUGCUCAUCAAAGCUUUGCUUAAAUUCCAUAAAGGCAACUUCUAUUCUGGAACUCAAGAAUUAAACAAUGUUCAUCAAAGCUUUGCUAAAUUGCAAAGACUACUUCUGUUGUGGAACUCUAGAAUUAAACAAUGUUCAUCAAAGCUUUGCUAAAUUGCAUACAUUUCUAAUGGGGAACUCUAGAAUGAAACAAUGCUCAUCAAAGGUUUUCUUAAAUUGCAUAGACUUUUAUUGUGGAAAUCAAGAAUUAAACAAUGCUUAUCAAAGCUUUGCUAAAUUGUGAAGAAUACAUAUAUUGUGGAACUCAAGAAUUAAACAAUGCUCAUCAAAACCUUGCUAAAUUGCAUAGUCUAUUGUGGAACUGAAGAAGUGAACAAUGCUCAUCAAAGCUUUACUAAACUGAAAACACUACAUCUAUUGUGGAAAUCAAGAAUUAAACU